Molecule: long non-coding RNA, 6651 nt
Organism: Brassica rapa (field mustard)
Lineage: Eukaryota; Viridiplantae; Streptophyta; Magnoliopsida; Brassicales; Brassicaceae
Source: RefSeq, a predicted model, not a curated record
CAAAUUUUAUUAAUAUUGUUUAAUUUUAAGUUUUGGUAAUUACACAACUCUUACAAAUUUAUUUAAUAUAUUUAAUUAAAAUAAAUAGAUAGAAAAAUCUAUCUAGGAUUAUAAUUUCAAAUAUAUACAUGCAUAUUCUUAAAUAUUGAUUUUAUAUUUAAUUAAAUCAAAUUUAUAUUGUAUUGUCAAAUCUUAUAGUAAUUUAGUUUGCAAAUAAAACUUUUAGUUAAUUAUUUAAUAUUAAUUUAUAGAGUUUUUACUAUCUAUUCUAUUAAAAGGGAAGCAGUCUUGAAAAAUCUACUUAUACAAAGUUGUUUGGACUAUUUCCUAAGAGUUAAUAAUUUCAUAGUCUUACUUAAAUUUCUCCUAACAAUAUAUUUUCAUAUAUUUCUCUGAUUUUCUUUAGAUAUUAUAAGUGUGUCACUCCUAUAUUUAUGGUAACUACUAUAUUACCUUCUAUAAAUUUCACCCUUUGAUUAUAAAUUUCUCCAUUUAGUUACUGAUAUCCCAUAUACGAUUUACUAACCAACAUUUUUUUGAUGCAAUAAUAUAUAAACUUGUGGGUCCAUAGACUAAUCUAUUAUGCAUGUGACCAUAUAUAUAUAUAUAUUAUAUAAUGUUUAUUUUAAUUAUUAAAUUCAUAUCUAUAUAAAACGAAUGGUAUGAUGCAUAUCACCAUUAAAUAAUAUUUGCCAUUUGAAUUAAAAUAGUCUGGUAAGUAAUACAUGUAUUUAAAAAAAAUGAGUUAAUGAAGUAUGAUAAAUAAUUAUCACAAAAUCAUGUUUUACUAUAGAACCGAUCAAACUUAGUAGUAUAUUAUAUUAUUUUCAGUUCAUAAAAAACGAUAUUAACAUAUAAGUACUGAACAAAUUUGAAAAAAUGCAUAUGAAGUUAGUUAAAAAUUAUCCUCGGGCCAACAUAUUUAAUUGAGUUUUUACUAUAGUUCAGAUACAACUACUUAAACUAUAUUAUGGAAAAUUAAAAAAUACAAAUAAUUUUGAAAAUAUUGCUCCAUAUUUUCUCUUUUUUUUUUAAAAAAAAAAUUAGUUGACUUGAUUUUUACUUAUGAAGCACAAUUACUAAAAUCAUAAAUAAUGAUUAGUAUUUUGUUUUGGGCAACAAAUAAUGUUUAGUAUAAAAGAUGCUCAAACACAAGUCCACUUCUGUAAUUCAAUUUAAAUAACAAAAUAAAUUUACAAAUAUAAUUAGGUCCAGAAUUAAUAUUUAUAUUAUUUGAGUUUCAAGCUGGCAGGUUGCCGCGGGUUAUUCAAUCAUAUAUUAUAUACUAAACACACUGAGAUUGGUAUAAACUCUUCACUAGGUUUGGAAUACUUAAGUUAAACAAGAUUUUUCUCUUUUGAAAAAGUAUUAACCCCGUGCUUCAAAGCUUGAUUCAAAAGUUUGAAUUGAGUUUUGAAAAAAUGUCAUCCAAUUUAUAUGGGAUUUUAUCGGGUCGACCAAUAUUGGAUAGCAGGUUAAUGAUAGUUUUUACGUUUUUACCGACUUUUAUCAGAUUUUUAUAUAUAAGGUUUUAACAAAAUUCAGACCAGAUUUAUAUGAAUCACCUGAUUUACUUAUGAGAUUGUAGGUUUGGUUCGGGUAUGAAAAUACUGCUAAAAAUAUUAAAAAUUCUACAAUAUAUAUACUAUUAGAUUAGCCCAAAAUCUGUCAAGUAAAUUUUUUGUCUCAUCAACUCAACAAAUAUAACUCUUAAAAAUACACACAAAAUGCAACGAUGACGUUGUAACAUAAGAAUACACAUAUAAAAUCUAAAAUAAACUAUUUGAUAAAUUAUAUAAUUUUAAACUAAAAUUCAUUACUUUUUCGAUAUAUAACACUUUAUAACUUAAUAAUAUACUUCAAAACAUCAAAACCAAAAUAAUAAUUCAUAUCAAACAAUAUUCUUAAUCGGAAAAAAAAUCCGCGCUUUUGAAGCGCGGGUCAAAAUCGAGUAUGUAUUAUAUUUUCAGGGUUGUAGUAGAUAUGGUUUGUUGAUAUCAAACUAUGAAACAAAUGUUAUUUUGUGAUAUAUACAUAUAUAGCAUUUUGAAACUAAUAAUCACUAUCAGUAUCUUCUGAUAAUUCAAAUUCUAAUAUUAAUAAUUUAGUUUUUAUUUCUUGAAUAUCUGGUUGAUUUUGGAAUAUUUCGUUUAUUUUCUUUUUCAUCUUGCAUUAUGUGAAUCUAUGUCCAGCUCUUUUACAGUUUUAACGGACUAAUUUUUAUGCAUUUAUUGGUUUAUAUUUUUUUCUUCUUUGAAUAAUAUUUGAUUAGUUUUUUUUUGUCAUCUGUGUAUUUUAUUAUUGGUGUAUAUUACUUUGGUGUAUAUUACUGUUUGUAUCUACAAAACAACAAAUAGAAUAUAUUUGUACAAAUACGAAAAACUACCUACCAAGAAUCAUGAUGACAGACAAAUGGAACCUACGAGAAAACUUAUGCAACCAAGUGUAAUUAAAAAACAAGAUUCCCUAUCAACCACCACUCAAAGUGUCGACACCACUCAGAAAAAGACACAUAUUAAAGCACUCAACAUGCAUCUUCUACUAUAAAUAUCUCUUCUAUCAAUGAAGAGAGUGAUAGAAGAGAGACACAAGCAAUUAAAGUUUUCAGAUUUCAAGCUUUUAAAGUUUUAAAAUCUACUUUUGUAAUUGAUAUAUUAAAAUUUGUACUUUAAUCCAAACUCAAUAAAACAAGUUUAUACUCGACGUUUAGCACCUCUCUUCUUUUAGACUUAAGCCUUAGCAACUCUCGAUCUCAGUAAGUACCCUUUAAAAGGUUAAUACUUCGUAUCUGGAAGUAUCGAGGAGACUUCACAUCUUGUAUCACUUAAAGACAGUAUUCCCUUUCAAGUAUCAACCACGAUUCAAAGUGUCGGCAUCACUAAGAAAGAGAGACGUAUUGAAGCACUCAGCAUGCAUCUUCUACUAUGAAUACCACCUCUCUCAACAUGGUUUAUUUCCUUGUAUUUCUGCUUGGAACACCUACAGUAACAAUUUUUUUGCAGAAAGGUAAGAAUCUUCCUAAAGGGGUUUAAAUUAGUCUGAGUUCACGAAAACUUUGUUUUGAAAACCUUUUAAGAAAACUAUGCAAAAAAUUGCAUCGAUUUGUUGAAUUUUUUUUAUAAAAUAAGGUGAAAUCGCUUGUACCUAUUUUUAUUGAUAAAAGGGUAUUUAUAGUAAAAGAUGCAUGCUGAGUCCUUUGAUACGUGCCUCUUUUUGAGUGGUGCCGACAUUUUGAAUAGUGGUUGCUAGAAAAUUUUAUCUUUUAGUUACAUUUUGUUGAAGAAGUCUUCGAGUAGGUCCUAUCUGUCUGCCAUCACGAUUCUUGGUAUGUAGUUUUUGUUUUUGUAUUUAUACAGAUAUAUUAUGUGUAUUAUUUUGUAGAUACAAAAAGUGAGAUACAAAAAUAAUAAAAUACAUAAAUAAGAUCUAAAAGUUUAUCAAGAAAAGGAAGCAUUUUUGAUUUCACGAUAUUAUAUACCAAUUAAAUUUUGUAGAUUUGGAUUAUGUCUCCUUUUUGUAAGAUUGUUUGAUGUAUUUUAAAUGUUGGAAUAAUGUAUCCUAAAAUACAAAUUCUAAUAUGACAAAAUACACACAAUAUUGAAAUGAAGAAACAUAGAUGAUUUAUUUUAAAAUUAAUAAAAAAUAUAAUAUUGUGUUUAUGUUUAUAUAAACUUUAUAUAAGUUUCAUAUAUAGCAAUUAUUAAUUUAUGAUUUUAGUGGAACCAUGUAUAUAUCUAAAUAUAUUUUUUAAAAUUGAAUUAUGUCAUAUUUUAUAUUAUUUUAGUUUGAAACUAAUUUUUGAUAUUACUUCAUUGUAUUUAUUAAAUAUUAAUUUAUAGAGAUUUUAGUAUAUGUCUACUAGGUUUUUUGCCCGCAUAUGCGGACAUAAUAUUUUUAUGAAUAUUUAUUAUUUUAUGUUUUAUUAAUUCAAAAAUCACCAUAAUAAAUUCUUAUUUAUGUUUCCAAAAUUUUAAAUCAAACAUCAAAUUAUUUAUAUUUGAAAAACAUUCACACCUUAGAAAUAUUUUAGAAAAUACAUUUAUACAGAUGUUUUUGUUUGAUUAAUAUUUAAUUAUAAAUUAUUUUAUAUCUUAAUUUUUUUUAAUAUUAACUUAUAUUAUGAAAAAUAUUAUUUCUAUAUAACAAUAGAAUAUAUAUAUAUAAGAAUUUUCUUAUUUUCUAGAAGUAUUCUUUUAUAAAUUAUCUAAUAUAACAUAUAUACCUAAUAUAAAAUUUGUUUUCAGUUAUAAAAUAAAUUAUAUCUAAAUAUUCUUCAAGAAUAUCAACGACAUUAACUUGUUUUAGAGAGCUUGAUUGCGAAAACUGUGCUAACCUUUUAUGCAUUGAAUAAAACCGUAAGUUUUCAAAGCGACAAAAUCUCAACUGCUCCAGCUGAUUCUAGCUUUGCAUUCUCAUAAACAUGUAAGAUAAUUUUUUUUAAAAAAAUAUUUGUUCUCGAAAAUAGCCCAUCAUAGGUUGACAUAACAGUACUAAAAGAUUAGUAGUACCAACAGUCUUUGAAUCGAUUUGUGUUGUUGACUGUAAAAGAAAAGGCGAACGAUAUAUUAUAAGAGAUAUGUUUUCACAUAUGUUCAAAGAAUGUACAGCACGGGAAUAUGAAUAUAUACACAAGCUUAGGCCUUGAUUACUAGAGUAUUAGCAUUAGCAUUAGCAUUAGCAGUAGUAGUAUGUUAAAGGAGUUGUAUAAUUUUACUAAACUGUUUGAUAGAAUGAUUGGUAAAGCAGUAUGAAUAUGUUAUUUAAAAUUAUUAUAAAAAUUAGUAUAUAAUAUAUUUAUUUUUAAUGAAUAUAUAUAUAUAUAUUAACAUAUAAAAUUAAAAAGUUAUUUAAUUAAUUUAUUUUAUUUAAUAAGUUUAAAAUUAUGUUUAUAUCGAAAAUUAUUAUUUUAAAAUAAAAUUUAUAAUUAAAAUAUCUAUUUUUAAAAAUAAUAUUUCACAUUUUAAAUACAUUAAAUUAUAUUUUACAUGUGAAAUACUACUUUAAAAAAAAACAAUUCUUAUUGUAAAUUAAUUUUAGAAAUCAAAAUUUUAUUUUAUGGAUAUAAAAAUAAUUUUAUGAUAUUAUUAAAUAAAAUAAAUGAAUUAAUUAUAUAUUUUCUUUAAUUUUAUAAAUUAUAAAUGCAAAUACUCUUCUAAAAGCUUCAUAUGAAAGCAUUGGCCAUAGAACAUUUGGAAAGCAUUAACAUUUAGCAAAUAUUUUUCUAAAUAUUUUUCUAACAAUUAUUGAUUGGAUAAUGUAGAGCAUAAUGAUAAUGAUAAUGCUAAUAUUAUCUAUAUUAUUAAAAGAGAAGUACGCAUUAAAAAUACCCUUAAGUUUUUUAAUUUAUUUCCACUUCCAUGCCACUGAAAAUUAAAUUAAACUACCUAUUUUAAUGUUUGUCUUUUCCAGUUAAAUUAAUGAGUUUUCCUUAAUCAAAUUUAAACUUAAUGUCAUUAAAUGACCCUAUCUAUUUUAAUGCUUGUCUUUUUCAGUUAAAUUAAUGAGUUUUCCUUAAUCAAAUUUAAACUUAAUAUCAUUAAAUGAACAUAAAAAUACAUCAUAUAUUUAAUGUAGCUUAUUAUGAACGAUGACGAGUACGACCCAAUAAUGAACUUAUAUUUUAUUUUAUUUUGCCGAAAACGUGAAUCACUUGACAUAUGUAAUAUUUAAAAUAUAUUAACUACAAUAUAACAAAUGCACAUAACCUACCUAUACUUUACUUUGAAAUGAUCAUGCUCAAGUUUUAUAUAGUCAACUUACAUCAUGCAUCGAUCGAUGUACAAUAUUCAAACCACCUAUAGUUUUCGUUUUCUUUAUAGGAUGUAUUAACCAACCAAUCAUCCUAUUGAUUUUCUAAGCUUUAUAAAAAAUAAAUCAAUAAAUACAAACUCAAAAUCCAAUCUAUAUUAUUAAAACAGAAACAUUGCGUUGGACCUGACCUUUAUUUUGUAAGUUUUUAAAUAAAUGCAUCUUCCUACUUUAUAGUUAAACCUACAUUAAAUUCACUAAUAAUACUUUCUUUAUACUACUAUCAAUGUUUCCAAACAAUAUACUCAUUUCUUUAUACUACUAUCCAUGUUUCCAAACAACAUUAUAAUUAAUCUUGUGUCCAAACAAUAUAAAAUAUCAGAAUUCAUAUUUUUAAUAUUUCUAACAAUUUUCUUUCAAAUGGUUUAGAUAGAUUAUAUAAUUAAAAAAAAUCAAAUAAUUAAUAAAAACAACGAAAAUAAAUAGAACUUAUUUUUACAAGUUUAAAUACUAGAAAAAUAUUUCAAUCAAUAAUAAAUUAAUUAAAUUAACAUAUUAAUUUUAUAAUUACUAAAUAAUGGUUAUAUCAUUGAUUUAAGUAACAUAACAAUUCAAUAAUAGCAAUUACAUAAUAUAUAUAUAUAUAUAUAAACAUUAUACAUUGUACAAUAAAUAUAAUAACAAAAACAAUUAUGAAAAAUGUUCAAAAUAUAUAUGUUAUCUAAAAGAAAUGCUUAACACUAAUUGUGAACAACAAAUUUAAACUGAUUAUAAUAUAAAUUAUUAACAAGAUAAAUUACACAAAACAAUUAUUAAAAAAAUACUUAAGCUAUAUAAAAAGGAGCAAUAUGAUCAAGACAUAUUUAUAGUUGUUAAUUAUUUUAUAUCUUUCAUUUUUCUCUA